RNAcentral lists this ribosomal RNA (506 nucleotides) under uncultured bacterium. RNAcentral's name for it is "partial 16S ribosomal RNA". It matches the Rfam family "Bacterial small subunit ribosomal RNA", at positions 30 to 523 of the family's 1533-position model. The record is from RNAcentral.
AUUGAACGCUGGCGGCAGGCCUAACACAUGCAAGUCGAACGGUAACAGGAAGCAGCUUGCUGCUUCGCUGACGAGUGGCGGACGGGUGAGUAAUGUCUGGGAAACUGCCUGAUGGAGGGGGAUAACUACUGGAAACGGUAGCUAAUACCGCAUAACGUCGCAAGACCAAAGAGGGGGACCUUCGGGCCUCUUGCCAUCGGAUGUGCCCAGAUGGGAUUAGCUAGUAGGUGGGGUAACGGCUCACCUAGGCGACGAUCCCUAGCUGGCCUGAGAGGAUGAACAGCCACACUGGAAUUGAGACACGGUCCAGACUCCUACGGGAGGCAGCAGUGGGGAAUAUUGCACAAUGGGCGCAAGCCUGAUGCAGCCAUGCCGCGUGUAUGAAGAAGGCCUUCGGGUUGUAAAGUACUUUCAGCGGGGAGGAAGGCGAUAAGGUUAAUAACCUUGUCGAUUGACGUUACCCGCAGAAGAAGCACCGGCUAACUCCGUGCCAGCCGCCGCGGUAA